This 484-nucleotide ribosomal RNA is filed under the name uncultured bacterium. RNAcentral's name for it is "partial 16S ribosomal RNA". It matches the Rfam family "Bacterial small subunit ribosomal RNA", at positions 30 to 507 of the family's 1533-position model. The record is from RNAcentral.
AUUGAACGCUGGCGGCAGGCCUAACACAUGCAAGUCGAGCGGAUGAAGGGAGCUUGCUCCUGGAUUCAGCGGCGGACGGGUUAGUAAUGCCUAGGAAUCUGCCUGGUAGUGGGGGAUAACGUCCGGAAACGGGCGCUAAUACCGCAUACGUCCUGAGGGAGAAAGUGGGGGAUCUUCGGACCUCACGCUAUCAGAUGAGCCUAGGUCGGAUUAGCUAGUUGGUGGGGUAAAGGCCUACCAAGGCGACGAUCCGUAACUGGUCUGAGAGGAUGAUCAGUCACACUGGAACUGAGACACGGUCCAGACUCCUACGGGAGGCAGCAGUGGGGAAUAUUGGACAAUGGGCGAAAGCCUGAUCCAGCCACGCCGCGUGUGUGAAGAAGGUCUUCGGAUUGUAAAGCACUUUAAGUUGGGAGGAAGGGCAGUAAGUUAAUACCUUGCUGUUUUGACGUUACCAACAGAAUAAGCACCGGCUAACUUCGUG